ACGAACGCUGGCGGCGUGCUUAACACAUGCAAGUCGAACGGAAAGGCCCUGCUUUUGUGGGGUGCUCGAGUGGCGAACGGGUGAGUAACACGUGAGUAACCUGCCCUUGACUUUGGGAUAACUUCAGGAAACUGGGGCUAAUACCGGAUAGGAGCUCCUGCUGCAUGGUGGGGGUUGGAAAGUUUCGGCGGUUGGGGAUGGACUCGCGGCUUAUCAGCUUGUUGGUGGGGUAGUGGCUUACCAAGGCUUUGACGGGUAGCCGGCCUGAGAGGGUGACCGGCCACAUUGGGACUGAGAUCCGGCCCAGACUCCUACGGGAGGCAGCGGUGGGGAAUAUGGAACAAUGGGGGGAAGCCUGAUGCGGCAACGCCGCGGGCGGAAUGACGGCUUUGGGGUUGUAAACGGCUUUCGCCUGUGACGACGCGUGAGUGACGGUAAAGGGUAAAGAAGCCCCGGCUAACUAC
This 464-nucleotide ribosomal RNA is filed under the name uncultured bacterium. RNAcentral's name for it is "partial 16S ribosomal RNA". It matches the Rfam family "Bacterial small subunit ribosomal RNA", at positions 29 to 504 of the family's 1533-position model. The record is from RNAcentral.